RNAcentral lists this ribosomal RNA (912 nucleotides) under Alternaria alternata. RNAcentral's name for it is "LSU rRNA". It matches the Rfam family "Eukaryotic large subunit ribosomal RNA", at positions 31 to 962 of the family's 3401-position model. Lineage: Eukaryota; Fungi; Ascomycota; Dothideomycetes; Pleosporales; Pleosporaceae. The record is from RNAcentral.
AACUUAGCAUAUCAAUAAGCGGAGGAAAAGAAACCAACAGGGAUUGCCCUAGUAACGGCGAGUGAAGCGGCAACAGCUCAAAUUUGAAAUCUGGCUCUUUUAGAGUCCGAGUUGUAAUUUGCAGAGGGCGCUUUGGCUUUGGCAGCGGUCCAAGUUCCUUGGAACAGGACGUCACAGAGGGUGAGAAUCCCGUACGUGGUCGCUGGCUAUUGCCGUGUAAAGCCCCUUCGACGAGUCGAGUUGUUUGGGAAUGCAGCUCUAAAUGGGAGGUACAUUUCUUCUAAAGCUAAAUAUUGGCCAGAGACCGAUAGCGCACAAGUAGAGUGAUCGAAAGAUGAAAAGCACUUUGGAAAGAGAGUCAAACAGCACGUGAAAUUGUUGAAAGGGAAGCGCUUGCAGCCAGACUUGCUUACAGUUGCUCAUCCGGGUUUCUACCCGGUGCACUCUUCUGUAGGCAGGCCAGCAUCAGUUUGGGCGGUAGGAUAAAGGUCUCUGUCACGUACCUCCUUUCGGGGAGGCCUUAUAGGGGAGACGACAUACUACCAGCCUGGACUGAGGUCCGCGCAUCUGCUAGGAUGCUGGCGUAAUGGCUGUAAGCGGCCCGUCUUGAAACACGGACCAAGGAGUCUAACAUCUAUGCGAGUGUUUGGGUGUCAAGCCCGAGCGCGUAAUGAAAGUGAACGGAGGUGGGAACCCGCAAGGGUGCACCAUCGACCGAUCCUGAUGUCUUCGGAAGGAUUUGAGUAAGAGCAUGGCUGUUGGGACCCGAAAGAUGGUGAACUAUGCUUGAAUAGGGUGAAGCCAGAGGAAACUCUGGUGGAGGCUCGCAGCGGUUCUGACGUGCAAAUCGAUCGUCAAAUUUGGGCAUAGGGGCGAAAGACUAAUCGAACUAUCUAGUAGCUGGUUCCUGCC